ACUUUUUAUCCAGGCCGUUUCUCAGCGUUGGAUGUGCAAGCAGUUUUGAGAGAUGAAGUCAUGACUUCAAGACAAAAAAACAGGUUUGCUUAUUUUGCUACAAACCAAUAAGUUCUUCAGCCAUGCUGCAAAUCCACUGUGUAUCCAGUUCCCAUCUGCGGCCCGCACAUCAUCCCCAUGGGACUUGAGAGCAAGAGGAUCCCACGCAAAUCAUGUUGCUUGCUAUGCUGUAUAGAUGAAGGAGAGGCUGGUGUCUGCUUUUCACCUGAAGAUUCCUGGGAAUCACAUUUGCCUGAAGCAUUCAUAAGAGCAUGGCAAAAGGGGCAGUUGCUCUGUUGUGCCAGGAAGAAGAUGGAGGUAACCCCAUGCCUUCAUUCCAGUUAUCCAAAGCUCUCAAAGCUGUAGAAGAGAACUUCAAAGUUCUGUUUUAUUAUUAUUAUUAUUAUACUUUAAGUUCUGGGACACAUGUGCAGAACAUACAGGUUUGUUACAUAGGUAUACAUGUGCCAUGGUGGUUUGCUGCACCCAUCAACCCGUCAUCUACAUUAGGUGUUUCUCCUAAUGCUAUCUCUCCCCUUGCCCCCCACUCCCUGACAGGCCUCGGUGUGUGAUGCCACCCCCACCCUCGUGUCCAUGUGUUCUCAUUGUUCAACUCCCACUUAUGAGUGAGGACAUGUGGUAUUUGGUUUUCUGUACCUGUGUUAGUUUGCUGAGAAUGAUGGUUUCCAGCGUCAUCCAUGUCCCUACAAAGGUCAUGAACUCAUUCUUUUUUAUGGCUGCAUAGUAUUCCAUGGUGUAUAUGUGCCACAAUUUUCUUAAUUUAGUCUAUCAUUGAUGGGCAUUUGGGUUGACUCCAAGUCUUUCCUAUUGUGAACAGUGCUGCAAUAAACAUACAUGUGCAUGUGUCUUUAUAGUA
Molecule: long non-coding RNA, 916 nt
Filed under: Homo sapiens (human)
Lineage: Eukaryota; Metazoa; Chordata; Mammalia; Primates; Hominidae
Description: long independently transcribed non-coding RNA 2840, transcript variant 10 (LINC02840)
Source: RNAcentral